AUAGACCUAAUAAAAUAUGGACAGGCCCUGAGAGAGAGAGGUGACGAGUAGUACGUUAGAAAGAGAUGGACAUAUGGUAGAAAACGUCAAAAUCAUAUGUUUAUUGUUUACUGUUCAGCUACUGUGUUUUCAAUCGAUAUUUCAUUCUCCUCACAAGCAAUUUAGCUGAUAACUAGGUUUUUAGAAUCGACUGCUACAUGGUAAUAAAGCGAAAGAGAUUUAUUUUUGGAAAUAAUAGACCAAUAAGGGAGUUUCUUUGUUAUUUCAUGUACAUAUAAGACAUAAUUUACAAUCACAAGGAAUAUACCUAAUCUACUUCCUAUAUUUCAUAAGGCCACAGCAAGAAUUUGUAGAGGCAUGUCCGAAGAAAAUACUAAACUCCAAUCUGGAUUUAAUAUUAGAAAGAGAAGAGAUGUGAAUCAUGUUGAUAUUCAGUAAGCCUUGUGACAUCGGCAAACUCAAAACUCAAUAUCUUCUGUUGAUCAGUGUCA
Coccinella septempunctata (seven-spotted ladybird) is the source of this 491-nucleotide long non-coding RNA. RefSeq lists it as uncharacterized. The record is from RefSeq and is a predicted model, not a curated record. The transcript is spliced from 2 exons. Lineage: Eukaryota; Metazoa; Arthropoda; Insecta; Coleoptera; Coccinellidae.